GGACUCUCUCUCUCUCUCUCUCUCUCUCUCUCUCUCUCUAUAUAUAUAUAUAUAUAUAUAUAUAUAUAUAUAUAUAUAGAGGCUAGAAUAUUAUCGGUAGCACGGAGACCUCCGUACUACCAAGUUGUUUUCAAUUAUGCAGCUUCCAAAUCGACGAUCGGCUUCGUUAGACUUGAUCUAUACUAUUAAAAAUAUUUGAAAACUAAAUUUCAUAAUUUUUCGACAUCAUUUACAUGUCAAAGGAAUAGUCUAAAAAUAAACGGUUGAAAAUAAAAAUCUCAUAAAAAAUGAUAAUAAAAUACUUAAAUUUAAGAUUAGAGAUACUUUUCUAUAAAAAUUUUAUCAGAUUUGGAUCGGUUUACACCAUUAAAUUCACAAACGCAUCACAUCAACCAUUAAAAUUGUCAAUUUUGAGACAUUUUGAUCACUAGCCAAAUAAUGUCGAAAAAUUAUAAAAUUUAGUUUCCAAAUACUUUUAAUAGUAUAGAUCAAAUCUAACGGAGUCGAUCAUCGAUUUAGAAGCCAUAUCAUUGAAAAUAACUUGGUAGCACAAAGGCCUCCGUGCUACCGAUAGUAUAAUAGCCUAGCUAUAUAUAUAUAUAUAUAUAUAUAUAGAGGCUAGGGCUACUAUCCUAUUAAUAGGAUAGUAGCACUUGUCCUAUCAAAUGGUUUUUUAUGAUAGAGAUUCCGAAUUGAUUAUCAGAGCCGUUGAAGUUGAUCUAGAGUAUUUGAAAUAUCUAGAAACUAAAUUUCAUAAAUUUUAAAAAUUAUUUACAUGGUGAUCAAAGUGUCGUAAAAUCGACAAUUUUUGACGGCCUAUAUGAGCCGUUUGCUUGUUUAACGGUGUAGAGCAAUCCAAAUUGCUUAAAUUUUUGAUAGAAAAUUCUUUAUACUAUUUAGAUAAGCUUUAAUAACUCUGAUUAUGAAUUAAGAAAGUCUAACCUCUAUUUUAAGAAGAUUAUUCAUUUAUGACCGUUCAUUUUUUAACUCUAAAGAUGAACUUGAUAAUGAUUUUUAAAUAUUACAAAAUUUGGUUUCUAAACAUUUCUAAUUGUGUAGAUCAAUUU
RNAcentral lists this long non-coding RNA (1067 nucleotides) under Ananas comosus (pineapple). Its description in RNAcentral is "long non-coding RNA (ACOM_LNC006250)". The record is from RNAcentral. Lineage: Eukaryota; Viridiplantae; Streptophyta; Magnoliopsida; Poales; Bromeliaceae.